AGUGGAUAUUGGCAGUUUGAUCUCUGGUUCCUCUGCCUUUUCUAAAUCCAGCUUGUACAUGUGGAAGUUCUCAAGCCUAUUUUAUUAAUGGAAAGUGCAGAUCGUCUGGUGUAAUUUACUGAAUACUGAAUGCAAAAAAGACAGGGUGGUUGUCAGGGUCCAGCAGGGCUGCGAGUGUGAGUUGCUCACUGUCCUGAGCACCAGAGGUCUGGGCUGCAGCCACUGCACUGCCCAGCUCCCACUGCAGAGGACAGACUGUACAUUGCCAGGGGGAAACAUCGAAACUCGAAAUUCGAAGUGUGGUUUCUCCUGAAUGUGUGUUGCUUUCGCAGCCUGAUAAAGUCAAAGAGUAAAACACUGAGUCGUGAGUCAGGGACCUUCUGUAUGAGAUGUUUUUGUUUUCACAUCAAGGGGAAUCAGUCUUCAACCCCUACUCUGUGAGACAUGAGGUCUAUUUGUCUGAAUUCCUCAAGUGACCACUGCCCAGUCCGCUCAGCUUGACUUUCCCUAAAGACUGUUUCUAGGAGAAAGUGGCCAGGGUUGCUCCCCUUCCUUACUGUCUGGAUGGCUCGGGCACUUCACACCCACAGGGAUCACUUCCCGCAUCUACACUUAAGCGGUCAACGCGGCUUUGGGGUUCAGAUGGUUGCUGUGUGCUAGAGAGUAUCCUCUUUCUCAGCAGAACUUUGUGAUAAAGACAGAAUUGGGAGCAGGUUCAGAUAAGAUGCAUUUCCCAUGGUUUUUAAUGAGGACAUUUGCCAGAAAGCAGUUAGUCACCAGGACUCUUCGAGACUCGGGGCAGGAACUCGGGCCCACGGUGUGUGCCCAAGUCGGCCAGGCCCCAGGAACGUGUGCCCAGGCUCUCCUCUCCCAGAGAAGCAGCGCUGCCCACUCAGCAGAGACGGGGCCUCCAUCUGAGGGUGGCAAACGUGCCUUGGCCUGUUAGAUGCGGUAGGGAAGCUAAAGUCACCAGCAAGCUUUUUACCCAGAGUGGAGGGUGGCAGUGACUGACGGCUGGGAGAAGGGCCAGAAGGGCUGGGAGAAGGGCUGGGGUGGGGAUGGAGGCAUCGGGCGCCCAGGGGAAGGGGCGCAUGGGCUCCCAGGAGGAGAGGGGGAAGAGGCUGGGAGGGACGAGCCCAGUUGGGCAGUGUCCACAGACCAGAGGCUUUAACCGAGGCCACGGGUCCAGGAUCCUAGCCUUUUGCAUCAGAGCCACUGGGCUUUCAAGUCUGUGAGGGCAGCCCUGGGCCACCCACAGCAGGCUUGAGCUGGGCUGAGCUGUGCUGAGCUAGCCAACCGGGUGAGCUGGGCUGAGCUGAGCCAGGUUGAGCUGGGCUGAGCUGGGUUGAACUGGGCUGAGCUGGGCUGAGCUGGGUUAAGCUGAGCUGAGUUGGGUUGAUCGGGGCUGAGCUGAGCUGGUUUGAGCUGGGUUGUGCUUGGCUGAAUUGGGUUAUCCAUGGUGGGCUGAGACAGGUCCAGCAGAAAUGUACUACCUGGAGUUGACUUGGGCAAGCUGAUGAUAUGCUUUGGGCCUGUUUAACCUCUGCUGAGUAUGGUGGGUCUAGCUGGACUGAGUUGACCCCACUGGACUGUCCUGGUCAACAGUGGGCUGACCUCAGUGAACUGGUUGAGCUGAGGACUGGGGGCCUGAGUGUGUAUCAGUCUCAUUGAUGACCCCAGACCCUGGGGCCAGGCCCCAAGUGGCUGAGCCGGGGGCAGUAAUGGUGGGCUGGCAGGGCUGAGUGUGCCGUCUGCUCCGCUGUCCCAGAAAGAAGGUGGAGCUGCCUGCACCCCCAACCAGCAGGACGCCUCUCACCCCCCUCUUCUCUUGUGUCCUCUCUCGGGUCCCCAGCAAGUGAAUCUCACCCGAAAGUCUUCCCUCUGGUGUCCUGUGAGAGCUCCCCAUCUGACAAGAACACUGUGGUCCUGGGCUGCCUGGCCCAGGACUUCGUGCCCAAUUCUGUCAGCUUCUCCUGGAAGUUCAAGAACAACAGCAUGGUCAGCAGUGAGAAAUUCUUGACCUUCCCCGGAGUCCUGAGGGACGGCUUGUGGUCGGCCUCCUCUCAGGUGGUCCUGCCCUCCCCGAGAGUCCCCCAGGGGUCAAAGGACUACCUGGAGUGCAACGUCCAGCAACCCAAGGAUGGAAAGAUCAUCAAGACUGUGGUGGUGUCCCCCAGAGUGUCAGCGUCAACCCCAACCCCGACUCCGACCACGUUAGCGCCUUCUACGACACCCAGGUCAGAGGGCUCCAACAAAGUCGUCAACACUCAGAGCAGCCCAGUGCCGUCCACCAGCCACAGCCAGCCAGAUGCCCAGACACUGGUGUGUCCGAAGGACCCCUGCAGAGAGAGUCAGAACCACACCCAGGCCCCUCGCGUCCGCCUGCUGCCCCCACCCCCGCGGGGCCUCUGGCUCCUGGACAAGGCCGAGUUCACCUGCUUGGCCACAGGGGAGGCCCCGCCGCACGCCCACUUCUCCUGGGAGGUGAACGGGCAGCCCCACAGCGGGGCCGUGGACGAGGGGCCCACCCAGGACCGCAACGGCUCCUGGAGCCAGAGCAGCCGCCUGGCCCUGCCCAGGUCCCUGUGGGCCUUGGGCUCCACCGUCACCUGCACGCUGAGCAGCCCCGGCCUGCGGUCGCCGGUGACCCUGAUGGCACAGAGAGAACGUGCCGCCUCAGUGCCCAGCAAUCUGACCCUCCGCACUCUGACUGCGCCUGGCCUCUUCUCCCCUGCCUGGCUCCUGUGCGAGGUAUCCGGCUUCUCACCCGUGGACGUCCUCCUCACAUGGCUGAAGGGCCAGCAAGAGAUGGAGCCUUCGCAGUUUGCAACGGCGCAGCCCACACCCCAGGACGGGCGUGCCUCAUUCCGCACCUGGAGCGCCCUGCGUGUCUCCAGCCUUCUGGACGACGCGGGGGCCACCUACACCUGUGUGGUCAGCCACGAGGCCUCCCGGACGCUCCUCAACGGCAGCUGCAGCCUGGACCCUGGUGGUCAGGCCACCUGGCCACCCUGGAGCCUGGACGAGAGCAGCAAUGAUGGUGUGGACGUGGAGGAUGCCAGCCCGCUCUGGCUCACCUUCCUGGCCCUCUUCCUCGUCACUGUGGUCUACGGCGGCUUCGUCACCUUCAUCAAGGUGAAGUAGCCCUGGAGAGAAGACACCAGGCUCCGCACAGACAGAACCUGGCCUCCACACCGCCUGCUGCUCCCAGAGGGCAGAGGAGCCCACGCUGGACCCCACCCUGCGGCCCCACCCUCUGUCCACCACAGAGCCCAGCCCCCAGCCCGAGGAGGACAUCAUGGUGCAGAGAGGGGGCCCCCGGCUGGCCCUGCAGCCCCAGAGCCGGUGGCCCUGGCUGCAGCCCCCUUGCCUCCCCACCCACCAUCCGCCACAUAAAGAGCUUUGAUCCUU
Molecule: non-coding RNA, 3411 nt
Organism: Cervus elaphus (red deer)
Lineage: Eukaryota; Metazoa; Chordata; Mammalia; Artiodactyla; Cervidae
Source: the annotation of a RefSeq genome assembly